Brassica oleracea var. oleracea is the source of this 452-nucleotide long non-coding RNA. RefSeq lists it as uncharacterized. The record is from RefSeq and is a predicted model, not a curated record. The transcript is spliced from 3 exons. NCBI's taxonomy places the organism in Eukaryota, Viridiplantae, Streptophyta, Magnoliopsida, Brassicales, Brassicaceae.
GGGUACGAAGGGGGAGUAAACCGUUUUCAUUUUCGCGAACACAGAUCCAAGAGCUCUCUCUGUUUGCUCCGACGAAGGCGACAGGGAAAGCGUUUCCGACGAGAUUUGAGUGGAGACUUUAGGAGAUACUGAAAUGACGACGAGACGGAGACGAGCAGGGAAAGAACCUGCAGCCGAGGAGGGAAAUAGAGGGGAUGGCCCCGACGAGAGAUUGCCGGAGAGGCUAUUUGCGACGGACUGAUACCCUAGCAAGCGACUGAAUGUCUACUCGACACUGGAAUACCUUGUCUUUGUGAGGGAUGUCCUUCGAGGUACGCUUGAGAUGGAUCGUAUUUUGGGUUCCUGCUUUGGCAAGCUGUUCGAUUUACCGGCUCAGAGCUUAUUGUGCAGCCGGUGAUGGAGAUUGGCACAAACAAGUCAUAUGGGUGGGGAAAUGGGAUGAUGAGAUAGAA